GAUUCGGUGAGGUGGUGACAAGAAAUACCAAUAUAGGACCCAACGGGUACUAUGUUUGGAAUGAGUACAAUUUAAAAACCUUAACGAGGAACAAUUGGAGGGCAAGUCUGGUGCCAGCAGCCGCGGUAAUUCCAGCUCCAAUAGUGUAUAUUAAAGUUGCUGCGGUUAAAAAGCUCGUAGUUGGAUUUCGGAGUUGUUAUCUGAACCUUCUCGCCCUAAAAAGUGGGGGGGCUAAGGUAGCAGUAGUUUUCAUCAUAGUCCAUCAGGAUACUCUCUUGAUGUGUACUGGGUGUUAACCUCCUUUUUUUCUGGUACUUGCUAUCCAGCAAUGGGUAGUUUUGUCCAGAUAGUUUACUUUGAAAAAAUUAGAGUGUUCAAAGCAGGCAUAAUUGGCAUCAUGAAUACAUUAGCAUGGGAUAAUAGAAUAUGACAUUGGUCUUAUUUUGUUGGUUUCUAAGGCCAAAGUAAUGAUUGAUAGGGAUAGUUGGGGCCGCUCGUAUUGAGUUGUCAGAGGUGAAAUUCUAGGAUUUACUCAAGACGAAC
Molecule: ribosomal RNA, 543 nt
Filed under: uncultured eukaryote
Lineage: Eukaryota
Description: partial 18S ribosomal RNA
Rfam family: Eukaryotic small subunit ribosomal RNA
Source: RNAcentral